CCUACGGGGAGCAGCAGUGAGGAAUAUUGGUCAAUGGGCGCGAGCCUGAACCAGCCAAGUAGCGUGCAGGAUGACUGCCCUACGGGUUGUAAACUUCUUUUAUAAAGGAAUAAAGUGAGGUACGUGUGCCUUUUUGUAUGUGCUUUAUGAAUAAGGAUCGGCUAACUCCGUGCCAGCAGCCGCGGUAAUACGGAGGAUCCGAGCGUUAUCCGGAUUUAUUGGGUUUAAAGGGAGCGUAGAUGGGGUGUUAAGUCAGCUGUGAAAGUUUGGGGCUCAACCGUAAAAUUGCAAUUGAUACUGGCGGUCUUGAGUACAGGGGAGGUAGGCGGAAUUCGUGGUGUAGCGGUGAAAUGCUUAGAUAUCACGAAGAACUCCGAUUGCGAAGGCAGCUUACUAAACUGCAACUGACAGUGAUGCUCGAAAGUGUGGGUAUCAAACAGGAUUAGAUACCCCGGUAGUC
Molecule: ribosomal RNA, 460 nt
Filed under: uncultured bacterium
Lineage: Bacteria
Description: partial 16S ribosomal RNA
Rfam family: Bacterial small subunit ribosomal RNA
Source: RNAcentral